CCGCCUGUCACACCAUGGGAGUCGAUUGCUCCAGAAGUGCCUGAGCCAACCGCAAGGAGGCAGGGCCCCAAGGAGUGAUCGGUAACUGGGGUG
Molecule: ribosomal RNA, 93 nt
Filed under: uncultured bacterium
Lineage: Bacteria
Description: partial 16S ribosomal RNA
Rfam family: Bacterial small subunit ribosomal RNA
Source: RNAcentral